AGGACGAACGCUGGCGGCGCGCUUAACACAUGCAAGUCGAGCGAGAACCAGCCCUUCGGGGCUGGGGGCAGCGGCGAACGGGUGAGUAGCACGUGGGUAAUCUGCCCUCGGUUCUGGGAUAGCCCGGGGAAACCCGGAUUAAUACCGGACAGCCUCUUGAGCUCUCGGGCUCUCGAGAAAAGGUGCUUCGGCCUCCGACUGAGGAUGAGCCCGCGGCGGAUUAGCUUGUUGGCGGGGUAACGCCCACCAAGGCGACGAUCCGUAGCUGGUCUGAGAGGACGAUCAGCCACACUGGGACUGAGACACGGCCCAGACUCCGUACGGGAGCAGCAGGUGGGGAACUCGUUAGCGCAAGUGGGACGAAAGCCUGACCGCAGCGACGCCGCGUGAGGGAAGAAGGCCUU
Molecule: ribosomal RNA, 404 nt
Filed under: uncultured soil bacterium
Lineage: Bacteria
Description: bacterial SSU rRNA
Rfam family: Bacterial small subunit ribosomal RNA
Source: RNAcentral